RNAcentral lists this ribosomal RNA (253 nucleotides) under uncultured bacterium. RNAcentral's name for it is "partial 16S ribosomal RNA". It matches the Rfam family "Bacterial small subunit ribosomal RNA", at positions 524 to 776 of the family's 1533-position model. The record is from RNAcentral.
CACGUAGGGGGCGAGCGUUGUCCGGAAUUAUUGGGCGUAAAGAGCUCGUAGGCGGUCUGUCGCGUCUGCUGUGAAAACUCAGGGCUUAACCCUGAGCUUGCAGUGGGUACGGGCAGACUAGAGUGCGGUAGGGGAGACUGGAAUUCCUGGUGUAGCGGUGAAAUGCGCAGAUAUCAGGAGGAACACCGGUGGCGAAGGCGGGUCUCUGGGCCGUAACUGACGCUGAGGAGCGAAAGCAUGGGGAGCGAACAGG